UACGUAGGGUGCGAGCGUUAAUCGGAAUUACUGGGCGCAAAGCGUGCGCAGGCGGCUAUGCAAGACAGAUGUGAAAUCCCCGGGCUCAACCUCGGAACUGCCUUCAAAACUGGCGACCUGGAGCAAGAUAGAGGCGAGUGGAAUUGCGAGUGUAGAGGUGAAAUUCGUAGAUAUUCGCAGGAACACCAGUGGCGAAGGCGACUCGCUGGAUCUUUGCUGACGCUGAGGCACGAAAGCGUGGGGAGCAAACAGG
RNAcentral lists this ribosomal RNA (253 nucleotides) under uncultured bacterium. RNAcentral describes it as "partial 16S ribosomal RNA". It matches the Rfam family "Bacterial small subunit ribosomal RNA", at positions 524 to 776 of the family's 1533-position model. The record is from RNAcentral.